This 101-nucleotide transfer RNA is filed under the name Rhizoctonia solani. RNAcentral's name for it is "tRNA-Thr". It matches the Rfam family "tRNA". Rfam says of the family: Transfer RNA (tRNA) molecules are approximately 80 nucleotides in length. Their secondary structure includes four short double-helical elements and three loops (D, anti-codon, and T loops). The record is from RNAcentral. Lineage: Eukaryota; Fungi; Basidiomycota; Agaricomycetes; Cantharellales; Ceratobasidiaceae. RNAcentral also lists the same sequence under 1 other name.
GCCCUUAUAGCUCAGUGGUAGAGCGCAUCACUAGUAUUCAGUUAGUUAAUGAUUACGUAAUACGAAUGAUGAGGUCCUCUGUUCGAUCCAGGGUGAGGGCA